UACACGACCGUACCGCAAACCGACACUGGUGCGCGAGAUGAGUAUUCUAAGGCGCUUGAGAGAACUCAGGAGAAGGAACUCGGCAAAUUGACACCGUAACUUCGGAAGAAGGUGUGCCUUUAGUAGGUGAACCUGUACAAGGGGAGCCCAAUGAGGUUGCAAAAAAUCGGUGGCUGCGACUGUUUAAUAAAAACACAGCACUCUGCAAACACGAAAGUGGACGUAUAGGGUGUGACGCCUGCCCGGUGCUGGAAGAUUAAAUGAUGGGGUGCAAGCUCUUGAUUGAAGUCCCAGUAAACGGCGGCCGUAACGAUAACGGUCCUAAGGUAGCGAAAUUCCUUGUCGGGUAAGUUCCGACCUGCACGAAUGGCGUAACGAUGGCCACACUGUCUCCUCCUGAGACUCAGCGAAGUUGAAAUGUUUGUGAUGAUGCAAUCUCCCCGCGGAAAGACGGAAAGACCCCAUGAACCUUUACUGUAGCUUUGUAUUGGACUUUGAACAGAUCUGUGUAGGAUAGGUGGGAGGCUUUGAAGUGUGGUCGCUAGAUCGCAUGGAGCCAACGUUGAAAUACCACCCUGGUGUGUUUGAGGUUCUAACCUAGGCCCGUAAUCCGGGUCGGGGACAGUGCAUGGUAGGCAGUUUGACUGGGGCGGUCUCCUCCCAAAGCGUAACGGAGGAGUUCGAAGGUACGCUAGGUACGGUCGGACAUCGUGCUAAUAGUGCAAUGGCAUAAGCGUGCUUAACUGCGAGACUGACAAGUCGAGCAGAUGCGAAAGCAGGACAUAGUGAUCCGGUGGUUCUGUAUAGAAGGGCCAUCGCUCAACGGAUAAAAGGUACUCUGGGGAUAACAGGCUGAUACCGCCCAAGAGUUCAUAUCGACGGCGGUGUUUGGCACCUCGAUGUCGGCUCAUCUCAUCCUGGGGCUGUAGCCGGUCCCAAGGGUAUGGCUGUUCGCCAUUUAAAGAGGUACGUGAGCUGGGUUUAAAACGUCGUGAGACAGUUUGGUCCCUAUCUUCCGUGGGCGCUGCAGAUUUGAGGAAGCCUGCUCCUAGUACGAGAGGACCGGAGUGGACACACCUCUGGUGUAUCGGUUGUCACGCCAGUGGCAUUGCCGAGUAGCUAUGUGUGGAAGAGAUAACCGCUGAAAGCAUCUAAGCGGGAAACUCGUUUCAAGAUGAGAUCUGCCGGGGCCUUGAGCCCCCUAAAGAGUCGUUCAAGACCAGGACGUUGAUAGGUCGGGUGUGGAAGCGCAGUAAUGCGUUAAGCUAACCGAUACUAAUUGCUCGUGCGGCUUGACC
This 1298-nucleotide ribosomal RNA is filed under the name metagenome. RNAcentral's name for it is "bacterial LSU rRNA". It matches the Rfam family "Bacterial large subunit ribosomal RNA", at positions 1635 to 2925 of the family's 2925-position model. The record is from RNAcentral.